GAGAAGAACGUAGCGAAAUGCGAUAAGUAGUGUGAAUUGCAGAAUUCAGUGAAUCAUCGAAUCUUUGAACGCACAUUGCGCCCCUUGGUAUUCCAUGGGGCAUGCCUGUUCGAGCGUCAUCUACAACCCUCAAGCCCUGCUUGGUGUUGGGCGUCUGUCCCGCCCCCGCGCGCGGACUCGCCCCAAAUCCAUUGGCGGCGGCCCUUGCCUCCCUCUCGCGUAGCACAUUGCGCUUCUCGAGGCGUCGCGGGCCGCGCUCCACGAAGCACGCAAACCAGUCUUUGACCUCGGAUCAGGUAGGGAUACCCGCUGAACUUAAGCAUAUCAAUAAGCGGAGGA
This 339-nucleotide unclassified non-coding RNA is filed under the name soil metagenome. RNAcentral's name for it is "partial contains 5.8S ribosomal RNA, internal transcribed spacer 2, and large subunit ribosomal RNA". The stretch from base 3 to 119 matches the Rfam family "5.8S ribosomal RNA", at positions 38 to 154 of the family's 154-position model. The record is from RNAcentral.